This 804-nucleotide long non-coding RNA is filed under the name Salmo trutta (river trout). Its description in RNAcentral is "lncRNA (ENSSTUG00000010895.1)". Lineage: Eukaryota; Metazoa; Chordata; Actinopteri; Salmoniformes; Salmonidae. The record is from RNAcentral.
AUGGGAACUAGUGCAAUCUGGAGGCAGCCUGGUCUGUGGGACGGGGGCAGGACGGGGCAGCCUGGGACGGGGCAGCCUGGUCUGUGGGACGGGGGCAGCCUGGUCUGUGGGACGGGGGCAGCCUGGUCUGUGGGACGGGGGCAGCCUGGUCUGUGGGACGGGGGCAGCCUGGUCUGUGGGACGGGGGCAGCCUGGUCUGUGGGACGGGGGCAGCCUGGUCUGUGGGACGGGGGCAGCCUGGUCUGUGGGACGGGGGCAGCCUGGUCUGUGGGACGGGGGCAGCCUGGUCUGUGGGACGGGGGCAGCCUGGUCUGUGGGACGGGGGCAGCCUGGUCUGUGGGACGGGGGCAGCCUGGUCUGUGGGACGGGGGCAGCCUGGUCUGUGGGACGGGGGCAGCCUGGUCUGUGGGACGGGGGCAGCCUGGUCUGUGGGACGGGGGCAGCCUGGUCUGUGGGACGGGGGCAGCCUGGUCUGUGGGACGGGGGCAGCCUGGUCUGUGGGACGGGGGCAGCCUGGUCUGUGGGACGGGGGCAGCCUGGUCUGUGGGACGGGGGCAGCCUGGUCUGUGGGACGGGGGCAGCCUGGUCUGUGGGACGGGGGCAAGCCUGGUCUGUGGGACGGGGGCAGGACGGGGCAGCCUGGUCUGUGGGACGGGGGCAGCCUGGUCUGUGGGACGGGGGCAGCCUGGUCUGUGGGACGGGGCAGCCUGGUCUGUGGGACGGGGGCAGCCUGGUCUGUGGGACGGGGCAGCCUGGUCUGUGGGACGGGGGCAGUCACAGAGUCAAAUAGGGAGAACACAGUAG